CAAAAGGUAGUUUAAUAAAAAUUCCGGUUUUGGGGGCCGGGGAUGAAGGUUUGGAACCCUUCUCUUUUGA
Molecule: transfer RNA, 70 nt
Filed under: Sacalia quadriocellata (four-eyed turtle)
Lineage: Eukaryota; Metazoa; Chordata; Testudines; Geoemydidae
Description: tRNA-Pro
Rfam family: tRNA
About the family: Transfer RNA (tRNA) molecules are approximately 80 nucleotides in length.
Source: RNAcentral